Molecule: ribosomal RNA, 117 nt
Filed under: Anolis carolinensis (green anole)
Lineage: Eukaryota; Metazoa; Chordata; Lepidosauria; Squamata; Anolidae
Source: RNAcentral
GUGAAGGCUCAAAUAUCCUAAAGGCACCAGAUCCCGUCUGUUCUUGGAAGCUAAGUGGGGCCACCCUGUUUAUUACUUGGAUGGGAGAUUGCCAGUGAAUUCCAGGUGCUGUAGACU